AACGAACGCUGGCGGCAUGCCUAACACAUGCAAGUCGAACGAGACCUUCGGGUCUAGUGGCGCACGGGUGCGUAACGCGUGGGAACCUGCCCUUAGGUUCGGAAUAACUCCCCGAAAGGGGUGCUAAUACCGGAUAAUGUCUUCGGACCAAAGAUUUAUCGCCUUUGGAUGGGCCCGCGUUGGAUUAGCUAGUUGGUAGGGUAAAAGCCUACCAAGGCGACGAUCCGUAGCUGGUCUGAGAGGAUGAUCAGCCACACUGGGACUGAGACACGGCCCAGACUCCUACGGGAGGCAGCAGUGGCGAAUAUUGGACAAUGGGCGAAAGCCUGAUCCAGCAAUGCCGCGUGAGUGAUGAAGGCCUUAGGGUUGUAAAGCUCUUUUACCCGGGAUGAUAAUGACAGUACCGGGAGAAUAAGCGCCGGCUAACUCCGUG
This 433-nucleotide ribosomal RNA is filed under the name uncultured bacterium. RNAcentral's name for it is "partial 16S ribosomal RNA". It matches the Rfam family "Bacterial small subunit ribosomal RNA", at positions 29 to 507 of the family's 1533-position model. The record is from RNAcentral.